RNAcentral lists this ribosomal RNA (466 nucleotides) under uncultured bacterium. Its description in RNAcentral is "partial 16S ribosomal RNA". It matches the Rfam family "Bacterial small subunit ribosomal RNA", at positions 28 to 507 of the family's 1533-position model. The record is from RNAcentral.
GACGAACGCUGGCGGCGUGCUUAACACAUGCAAGUCGAACGGAAAGGCCCUGCUUGCAGGGUGCUCGAGUGGCGAACGGGUGAGUAACACGUGGGUGAUCUGCCCCUUACUUUGGGAUAAGCCUGGGAAACUGGGUCUAAUACUGGAUAGGACCAUGCUGUAGGUGGUGUGGUGGAAAGAUUUUUUCGGUAAGGGAUGAGCUCGCGGCCUAUCAGCUUGUUGGUGGGGUAAUGGCCUACCAAGGCGUCGACGGGUAGCCGGCCUGAGAGGGUGGACGGCCACAUUGGGACUGAGAUACGGCCCAGACUCCUACGGGAGGCAGCAGUGGGGAAUAUUGCACAAUGGGCGCAAGCCUGAUGCAGCGACGCCGCGUGGGGGAUGACGGCCUUCGGGUUGUAAACUCCUUUCGCUAGGGACGAAGCUUUUUGUGACGGUACCUAGAUAAGAAGCACCGGCUAACUACGUG